GAUGAACGCUGGCGGCGCGCCUAACACAUGCAAGUCGAACGGCACCCCUCCUCGGAGGGCAGCGAGUGGCGAACGGCUGAGUAACACGUGGAGAACCUGCCCCCUCCCCCGGGAUAGCCGCCCGAAAGGACGGGUAAUACCGGAUACCCCGGGGUGCCGCAUGGCACCCCGGCUAAAGCCCCGACGGGGGGGGAUGGCUCCGCGGCCCCUCAGGUAGACGGCGGGGUGACGGCCCACCGUGCCGACAACGGGUAGCCGGGUUGAGAGACCGACCGGCCAGAUUGGGACUGAGACACGGCCCAGACUCCUACGGGAGGCAGCAGUGGGGAAUCUUGCGCAAUGGGGGGAACCCUGACGCAGCGACGCCGCGUGCGGGACGGAGGCCUUCGGGUCGUAAACCGCUUUCAGCAGGGAAGAGUCAAGACUGUACCUGCAGAAGAAGCCCCGGCUAACUACGUG
RNAcentral lists this ribosomal RNA (459 nucleotides) under uncultured bacterium. Its description in RNAcentral is "partial 16S ribosomal RNA". It matches the Rfam family "Bacterial small subunit ribosomal RNA", at positions 28 to 507 of the family's 1533-position model. The record is from RNAcentral.